RNAcentral lists this ribosomal RNA (1349 nucleotides) under metagenome. Its description in RNAcentral is "bacterial LSU rRNA". It matches the Rfam family "Bacterial large subunit ribosomal RNA", at positions 1564 to 2925 of the family's 2925-position model. The record is from RNAcentral.
UGAGUACGAGCGGCUACGGCCGCGAAGUGGAUGAUGUCAAGCUUCCAAGAAAAGCCCUAUACCCGUUAAGGCAUGAUGGCCUGUACCCGAAACCGACACAGGUGGGGUGGUAGAGAAUACCGAGGGGCGCGAGGUAACUCUCUCUAUGGAACUCGGCAAAAUGGCCCCGUAACUUCGGGAGAAGGGGUGCCACCGCGAGGUGGUCGCAGUGAAGAGGCCCAGGCGACUGUUUACCAAAAACACAGGUCUCCGCUAAGUCGCAAGACGAUGUAUGGGGGCUGACGCCUGCCCAGUGCCGGAAGGUUAAGGAAGCUGGUCAGCGCAAGCGAAGCUGGCGACUGAAGCCCCGGUGAACGGCGGCCGUAACAAUAACGGUCCUAAGGUAGCGAAAUUCCUUGUCGGGUAAGUUCCGACCCGCACGAAAGGCGUAACGAUCUGGGCGCUGUCUCGGAGAGAGGCUCGGCGAAAUAGAAUUGUCUGUGAAGAUGCGGACUACGUGCACCCGGACAGAAAGACCCUAUGAAGCUUUACUGUAGCUUGGUAUUGUGCUCGGGCUCGGAAUGCGCAGGAUAGGUGGGAGGCUUUGAUCCAUUGCUUGCGGGUGAUGGUGAGCCACUGGUGAGAUACCACUCUUUCCGAGCUAGAGUUCUAACAGCAACCCGUUAUCCGGGUGCUGGACAGUAUCAGGUGGGCAGUUUGACUGGGGCGGUCGCCUCCUAAAAGGUAACGGAGGCGCGCAAAGGUCUGCUCAGGCUGGUUGGAAAUCAGCCGACGAGUGUAAAAGCAGAAGCAGGCUUGACUGUGAGACCUACAAGUCGAACAGGGAGGAAACUCGGCUUUAGUGAUCCGACGGUUCUGCGUGGAAGGGCCGUCGCUCAACGGAUAAAAGUUACUCUAGGAUAACAGGCUGAUCUCCCCCAAGAGUUCACAUCGACGGGGAGGUUUGGCACCUCGAUGUCGGCUCAUCGCAACCUGGGGCUGAAGUCGGUCCCAAGGGUUGGGCUGUUCGCCCAUUAAAGCGGUACGCGAGCUGGGUUCAGAACGUCGUGAGACAGUUCGGUCCAUAUCCGGUGCACGCGCAGGAAUAUUGAGAGGAUUUCUCCCUAGUACGAGAGGACCGGGAGGAACGCACCUCUGGUGUGCCAGUUAUCGUGCCAACGGUAAACGCUGGGUAGCCAUGUGCGGAGUGGAUAACCGCUGAAAGCAUCUAAGUGGGAAGCCCACCUCAAGAUGAGUAUUCCCAUGGCAUAAGCCAGUAAGGUCACGGGAAGAACACCCGUUGAUAGGCUCUACGUGGAAGCGCAGUAAUGUGUGAAGCGGAGGAGUACUAAUAGACCGAGGGCUUGACC